UGUGGUGGAUUCGUAUUCCAUCUUCGUGAUCAAUUGGAGAAUCACGAAGAUGGAAUACGCCAUGCACCCAC
This 71-nucleotide microRNA precursor is filed under the name Pristionchus pacificus. RNAcentral's name for it is "microRNA ppc-mir-2249 precursor". The record is from miRBase by way of RNAcentral. Lineage: Eukaryota; Metazoa; Nematoda; Chromadorea; Rhabditida; Neodiplogasteridae.